AUGAACGCUGGCGGCGUGCCUCAUACAUGCAAGUCGAGCGAACAGAUGAGGAGCUUGCUCCUCUGACGUUAGCGGCGGACGGGUGAGUAACACGUGGAUAACCUACCUAUAAGACUGGGAUAACUUCGGGAAACCGGAGCUAAUACCGGAUAAUAUAUUGAACCGCAUGGUUCAAUAGUGAAAGACGGUUUUGCUGUCACUUAUAGAUGGAUCCGCGCCGCAUUAGCUAGUUGGUAAGGUAACGGCUUACCAAGGCAACGAUGCGUAGCCGACCUGAGAGGGUGAUCGGUCACACUGGAACUGAGACACGGUCCAGACUCCUACGGGAGGCAGCAGUAGGGAAUCUUCCGCAAUGGGCGAAAGCCUGACGGAGCAACGCCGCGUGAGUGAUGAAGGUCUUCGGAUCGUAAAACUCUGUUAUUAGGGAAGAACAAAUGUGUAAGUAACUAUGCACGUCUUGACGGUACCUAAUCAGAAAGCCACGGCUAACUACGUG
RNAcentral lists this ribosomal RNA (496 nucleotides) under uncultured bacterium. RNAcentral describes it as "partial 16S ribosomal RNA". It matches the Rfam family "Bacterial small subunit ribosomal RNA", at positions 29 to 507 of the family's 1533-position model. The record is from RNAcentral.